Molecule: non-coding RNA, 22 nt
Filed under: Rattus norvegicus (Norway rat)
Lineage: Eukaryota; Metazoa; Chordata; Mammalia; Rodentia; Muridae
Source: RNAcentral
GUCAUGUGUAAACCUUCUGAAG